AACUUUCAACAACGGAUCUCUAGGCUCUCGCAUCGAUGAAGAACGCAGCGAAAUGCGAUAAGUAAUGUGAAUUGCAGAAUUCAGUGAAUCAUCGAAUCUUUGAACGCACCUUGCGCCCCUUGGUAUUCCGAGGGGCAUGCCUGUUUAGUGUCU
This 153-nucleotide ribosomal RNA is filed under the name Inonotus mikadoi. RNAcentral's name for it is "5.8S ribosomal RNA". It matches the Rfam family "5.8S ribosomal RNA". From Rfam's summary of the family: 5.8S ribosomal RNA (5.8S rRNA) is a component of the large subunit of the eukaryotic ribosome. It is transcribed by RNA polymerase I as part of the 45S precursor that also contains 18S and 28S rRNA. Lineage: Eukaryota; Fungi; Basidiomycota; Agaricomycetes; Hymenochaetales; Hymenochaetaceae. The record is from RNAcentral.